Molecule: long non-coding RNA, 2244 nt
Filed under: Mus musculus (house mouse)
Lineage: Eukaryota; Metazoa; Chordata; Mammalia; Rodentia; Muridae
Description: long non-coding RNA chr2:59349081-59351325
Source: RNAcentral
UGUUUGUGCUAGGAGUUAACCGCUGUCUGCUUUAUUUGAUGAUUUCUUUUCUUUCUUUUUUUUUUUUUUAAAACCUUGUUUACACCUACUGUGUAUAACAGAUAUAUAUGUCUUGGUUUAAAAUUACGAGCUGUGUUAUUCAUCAAGAAUUCUGCUUGGUUUUGCAUACAUCCUUUUAUGAAAAUAUUCAGCAUGCCCGUCAGGGGGAACAGGAGAGGUGGGUGGCUGCCAGCCAUGGGCCUUCAGUGCAAGCACAGAGUCGUUUCAAACAGAUCAGCACACAGCUACUGUGCAAUGGAUUUGCCACUGGGACCUCAAGCAGAAGUGCUGGUGGCCCCGCCCUGGUGCUAGGUAGCCCUCUGUGUUCCACUUAGAGGGAAGAUGUGUGUCGCUCCUGUCUCCCAGCUGUCUAAGGGCCGACCCUCGUCACUUGGCACUGAGGAGGGAUGUGCUUAUAAGCAUGUCCCCUGCCUCCUUAGUGUCUUCACAAAGGGAAGCUGCUGUCUUCUGUCCUGCCAUCUUCCCAGAAGUGAGCUGGAAGUGACACAGACACACAGAUACGCAUGCUCAGCCCGCCCACCCAACAGCACAAGAAAAGAACUGCCCUGCCAGGGCCCUCAGAAGGCGUGGCUGUGCAAAGCAACAGGGCCAAGGCUGGAGAACCACUGCUUUCAAGUGAAUUGGGUAAAGAUAUGGCCUCUGGUUAUUAUUAUUACAGACCAGACUGUUAAUGGGGAAAGAAACACCUCACAUUACCUUCCUGGCCAAAGUUUUAAAAAUAAUAAUAAUAAUUGUCCAAAAGGGGACCCAGGAGUAGAUGGCUAGUCAUGGCUAGUCAUUAUCAGCUGUGUGGCCCAGGCUAGCAUCAGAAGUCACCGGGGACACCGGGUUCACAUGAUCUCCUGACAAUAGAUCACCGUAGAGAAGCAUAAGUGUUAUUUACUGGGCACUUCUAGACACACUAGACCAGGCCAGAAAUUAAAACACACUAUAAAACCUGCUACCAAACAUCUGUACAUAAACGAUGGCAGAUAGUUUAUAAGCAGCUAAACUAUGACCACAAAAUAGAAAUAACUCUUGCAUGGCUCUUAAGUUACUCUAGAUGGUUCCAAGGUGGGUCAAGUCCCUGGAUCCCUGCUGCCUGCUGCCUGCCACCCCCUACCCUGGGCUUCUAGAGCUGGCUGCUUGCUACAGCUCGGCUGUGGGCCCAGGUGUCACCCUUGCUGGGAUAGGAAUGUAGGGUGUGUUCAUGGUCCUGGGGUCUGGCUGCUCUUUGUCCUCAACACCUCUCAGAGCCGGUUUUACUGUGGCAUUGCUAAUAAAUAGCCUUUGUUUUCCUGGAGCACUUUCCAGAUUUGCUGACAAUCUGAUUUCUCUCUUUUCCCCUCUCCUUCCUUUGCCUCUCCCUUCAGUUGGCAGCACCUCUUCCUCACCAGCACUGUUAGGAAUCAGAGAGCCUCGCUCUGAAUACGAUAGGACCCAGCCACCUAUGCAGUAUUACAAUAGCCAAGGGGACACCACACAUAAAGGCCUGUACCCUGGUAAGAUGCCAGUUGGGUGUGUGAUGUGAUACCUGAAGGAGUCACCUCUCUGGGUGGCUCAGCCAGUGUCCUGGGAACAAGCCUAUGCUUAUGUCAGCUCGGUCGUAGCAGCAAACCACCCCAUUCCUUCUCCGCUGCUGUCAGGAUUGUUGCCCUCUCUGCUUGUCUUAAAUAAAUCGAGCUAAUAUAGUUAUACGAUGACCACAAAUUAAAGAGAGGGCUUAGCUCUGGUGAUCAUUUCUGGCUGCCCCGGGUUCCAAUCCCUUUGCUCUUGUCCCCCUUCUGCUCUGGCAAGAGUCCCUUGUACAUCAGAAGUGAGGGUCCCAUGUGGCUUCUCCUGAGUUACAAGUACUCUCCAGACUGGUUCAGCUCUAAGUUCACACUGACUGAUAACAGUCUAGUCCCUUGGGGGAAAAGAGUUUGAGUGGAUUGUAGAAUAUAUCAUAUGAUAGUCCUCAAGUGUGACUACCUUUAAGAACAAAAAUAUUAUUAUAGUGUUAAUACUUUUAUAUCCUGUUCAGAAAGAUAUGCAUGAAAAAUAUUUUAAUGUUGCUAGCCCAAAACAUAGUUGGUCCACUCUCAAAGAUUUAGGGAUUAAAACUACUCCUGAGGUUCCAAAGAAGCCAUGAGCUACUGCAAAAGAAAAAGUAUGUUUUCUUCAACAAGAAAGAAAAGAAAAGAGAUGGCAAAUAACCUAUUUAUU